AGAACCUUACCAAGGCUUGACAUAUACGAGAACGCGCUAGAGAUAGCGAACUCUUUGGACACUCGUAUACAGGUGGUGCAUGGUUGUCGUCAGCUCGUGUCGUGAGAUGUUGGGUUAAGUCCCGCAACGAGCGCAACCCUCGUCGCAUGUUGCCAGCACGUAAUGGUGGGAACUCAUGUGAGACUGCCGGGGUCAACUCGGAGGAAGGUGGGGAUGACGUCAAAUCAUCAUGCCCCUUAUGUCUUGGGCUUCACGCAUGCUACAAUGGCCGGUACAAAGGGCUGCGAUGUCGUAAGGCGGAGCGAAUCCCAAAAAGCCGGUCUCAGUUCGGAUUGAGGUCUGCAACUCGACCUCAUG
RNAcentral lists this ribosomal RNA (357 nucleotides) under Agromyces aurantiacus. RNAcentral's name for it is "bacterial SSU rRNA". It matches the Rfam family "Bacterial small subunit ribosomal RNA", at positions 965 to 1322 of the family's 1533-position model. Lineage: Bacteria; Bacillati; Actinomycetota; Actinomycetes; Micrococcales; Microbacteriaceae. The record is from RNAcentral.